Long non-coding RNA from Carassius gibelio (silver crucian carp), 3008 nucleotides. RefSeq lists it as uncharacterized. The record is from RefSeq and is a predicted model, not a curated record. The transcript is spliced from 2 exons. NCBI's taxonomy places the organism in Eukaryota, Metazoa, Chordata, Actinopteri, Cypriniformes, Cyprinidae.
CGAGUGCCAUCUAUUAUUGCCUUAUUUAUCUAAAAGUGCACUUUUCCUUGUUUUAAAUCUAGCCAAAAACCCAUGUGUUGACUUUGAAACAGCAGACAUUAAUGGACUCCAUGCAGAAACAAUUGCUGGAUGACUGCUACAGAUGCAUCUCUCCUGGAGCACACUGAUGGACAGCAAACAAGUGCAGUGUGAACGCUCUGAACUGUUAACAUGUGCACCAUAUACGUCAUAAAUAGAACACAGCAGCAGUUUUCUGCCGUUGGAUUUAGUGUCGCUCUGUGCUGCAUCCAGUGUAGACUGUUUAUAAUGAGUUCUGCAGUAUUUUGUCGUGCCACACCACUCGUGUUCGGUGUAGACACAGUGUAAGGCUGAGGACCCAAGGAAUUUUUUUUUUUUUACCCACGAUACAUUCUGAUUCCGAGUGUACAAGCGAUAUAUACUCGCAGAGCACUAUUUCCCACAAUCCUAUGUGAAGAACCGGGCAAACUAGAAGCGAGAGCGGGAGAGAGUGAGUUUGAACGAGAGAUGCCGUUUACAUCUUUAUUUCUGUUUUACAUUUUUUUCAUUCAUUAUUUAUAUUAACAUAUGUUACGUAGGCAAUAACUCAGUUUAAUAUUUUACUAAUUUACUGAGAUGGCAUCAUUGUUAACUUACAAAAAUGAUGAUAAUUUGGUGGAUAAUUAAAAAAUGUUCGUUAAUCACAGUAGGUAGCGUAUUGAUUUUGCUGUAAAAUUAAUGAUCACCUGAGGGCACUCUAUGACCAUUACCUGAUCUGAGCUCAAAAGUGUCAAGAUACUAAAAAUAAUAAAUGCAUAACAUUAUGAACGUGUUAAUGUAUGUUUAUUUUUGUUCUCAGUAUAUUAAUAGCAUUUUAUGAUUAUGAAAAUAAAAACAUUACAAAACAAAUUAAUAUACCAUCGAUGAAACCACAAAGCUGACGCAGAGGUAUGUAUAAUCAUCAGUCAUUUUGAGUAUUAUUGCUAUAUUAUUUUCUUAAAUAAGGUACAUGUAAUAUAAAAGUACAUAUGGCAAUGUUUUUGCAACAGCUCCAGGUCUUACGCGAAGUGUAUACGUCACCGUCCGAAUCCAUUCACUUACGUGUUCACUCCUUUCUGAUAUAGUCCACUCAUCCGCUAUACACUAUAUAGGGUUGUUCAAUGAGUGAACGAGUAAGCGAAUUCGGACACAUAUAAAGACAAAACUCUGUCAGAGGCCUAUCUUUUUCCAGCAGGCUCAGAACAAGAUAAUGUUAAAUGUAAAUAAUGGCUCAACAUGCGGAGUACGUUUUUUAGAAAGGCCCCUAAGAAUGAGAUGUCUUUAUUAGACACACACCCGCAUACAGCACUUGUUGGUGACAUCAGUGGAGCACUGGGUGAAACGACCUACUUUGGAAAAGAGCAUGUUUGAGAAUGUGCUUGUUCAGUGCCCCUUUUGAGAUCAGGUCACAGAAAAAAAAAAUUUCAAAUGUAAAAACAGUCACUAAAAUUGCAGCACAGUUACUGCAAUCCUCAUUAUACAAUACCACAAGUAUUUCUAUUUUCAUGGGGAAAAUUGUAAAAAAUGUAAACUUUUUUUUUUUUUUUUGCUUGGCAUGCUUUCAAACUGAGGAUAUCAAACUGAAAAUUAAGAGAAUGGAGUAAUACACUCCAGUUCAAAAUUUUGUGAUUUGUAAGAUUUUUCUUCACGUCUUUAAAAGAAUAAUCUUAUGUUAAUUUAUUUACACAAAAAUACACUAAAACGGUGAUACUGUGGAAUAUUUGUCAAAAUAACAGUUUUCUAUUUGAAUCUUUACAAAUGAAAAAAAAAAAAAAUUAAAUUUAAUUUUUUGCCAUUACUCCAGUUUUCCAUGUCACAUGAUACUUCAGAAAUCAUACUACCAUGCUGAUUAGCUGUUCAAGAAACAUUUCUUUUCAUUAUUAAUAUUAAUGUUGAAAACACUUUGUGCUGAUAAAUACUUUUGUGAAAGCUGUGACACUUUUCUUGCAGGGUUCUUUGAUGAAUAGAAAGUUCGAAAGAACAUUUACUGAAAAAAAUUGUAAUUUCCUGUCCUCUAUUUACUGUCACUUUUUGUCACUUACUGAGCAAAACUUUUGAACUGCAGUGUAUUCACCUUAUUUUCCAUGGCAACAACGGUGCCGCCAUUGCGCUCGUUUUGUCAUCUUACUUCCGGCUGAGGGACCGGAUGUAACGUACCUAAGCUAGUGGCUGGCUAGAUAACAGAACGCAGAACGAACAGAAGUAUGAUAUAUGCUCAGUUAGGGGCUGCAUAACAAUUGUAUUAAAAAAUAAUUGCACCAACGAUGUAGCGAACACAUUGUGACGCGGUCGGAGUGCUGUGGUGCACUUUACAAUUUACACCCACCACCUAAAGAAGAGAAGCACCUGAGGAAAUGGAUGAAGGCGCUAAAUUUGAAGCGCCCACCCAAGCGCUCUUAUGUGUGUUCGUACCAUUUCAUGGACGGGAAGGCGACUGACGAACACUUUUACCCCGAGAAAUGGCUCGACUACGAUGUCCCGUUAAAGAGGUCACGCCGGGGAUGGAAAGGUUAUCAGAUUCGGAUGUAUCGAUGACCGCCAGUGAUGCAGUGGACAGCUGUGAGGGUCAUCAGAUCCACAUGCCCCUGAUCUUGCUGAAAGUCACCAGAAGUUACCUGCUGUGAUAGUUAUUUUUUAUGAACCUUUACAAAGUCACCAAAAGUUACCUGCUGUAAUAGUUAUUAUGAACCUUUACAGUGUCACCUGACAUUACCUGCUGUAAAUAGUUUUUAUUUAUUUAUCUUAAUUUGAUCUUUUUUUCAUCUUUAAUCUCUGAUUUGAAGGAAUAACUCAUGUCAAGUUUGCAAGUUAAUUCCAUCUUGGUUUAUUACAUAUGGAAAUUAAAUGUUGAAAUUUUAUAGGAUGGUCAGUAGAAGGUGUCUCUUGCUUCCUGAAAACAACAAACACUGAUCAAUACAUCACAAAUGAUUUUAUACAACUUAUAUUAAAUGAUCCAUGUUCUAAAAAACAAA